This is a small nucleolar RNA of Acanthopagrus latus (yellowfin seabream), 65 nucleotides long. RefSeq annotates it as small nucleolar RNA SNORD75. Lineage: Eukaryota; Metazoa; Chordata; Actinopteri; Spariformes; Sparidae. The transcript has a single exon. The record is from RefSeq and is a predicted model, not a curated record.
AACUAAUGAUGUUUAAUUAAGAGUAGUGGACAGAAGUGAUUUCUGAAAACUGCAUUACUGAAGUU